AAUUGAAGAGUUUGAUCAUGGCUCAGAUUGAACGCUGGCGGCAGGCCUAACACAUGCAAGUCGAACGGUAACAGGAAGAAGCUUGCUUCUUUGCUGACGAGUGGCGGACGGGUGAGUAAUGUCUGGGAAACUGCCUGAUGGAGGGGGAUAACUACUGGAAACGGUAGCUAAUACCGCAUAACGUCGCAAGACCAAAGAGGGGGACCUUCGGGCCUCUUGCCAUCGGAUGUGCCCAGAUGGGAUUAGCUAGUAGGUGGGGUAACGGCUCACCUAGGCGACGAUCCCUAGCUGGUCUGAGAGGAUGACCAGCCACACUGGAACUGAGACACGGUCCAGACUCCUACGGGAGGCAGCAGUGGGGAAUAUUGCACAAUGGGCGCAAGCCUGAUGCAGCCAUGCCGCGUGUAUGAAGAAGGCCUUCGGGUUGUAAAGUACUUUCAGCGGGGAGGAAGGGAGUAAAGUUAAUACCUUU
RNAcentral lists this ribosomal RNA (472 nucleotides) under Escherichia coli. Its description in RNAcentral is "bacterial SSU rRNA". It matches the Rfam family "Bacterial small subunit ribosomal RNA", at positions 1 to 470 of the family's 1533-position model. Lineage: Bacteria; Pseudomonadati; Pseudomonadota; Gammaproteobacteria; Enterobacterales; Enterobacteriaceae. The record is from RNAcentral.